GGAGGGGUGGCCGAGUGGCUGAAGGCGGCGGUUUGCUAAACCGUUAUACGGGUAAUACCGUAUCGGAGGUUCGAAUCCCUCCUCCUCCG
Molecule: transfer RNA, 89 nt
Filed under: Deltaproteobacteria bacterium
Lineage: Bacteria; Pseudomonadati; Myxococcota; Myxococcia
Description: tRNA-Ser
Rfam family: tRNA
About the family: Transfer RNA (tRNA) molecules are approximately 80 nucleotides in length.
Source: RNAcentral